RNAcentral lists this ribosomal RNA (468 nucleotides) under uncultured bacterium. RNAcentral describes it as "partial 16S ribosomal RNA". It matches the Rfam family "Bacterial small subunit ribosomal RNA", at positions 28 to 507 of the family's 1533-position model. The record is from RNAcentral.
GACGAACGCUGGCGGCGUGCUUAACACAUGCAAGUCGAACGGAAAGGCCCUGCUUUUGUGGGGUGCUCGAGUGGCGAACGGGUGAGUAACACGUGAGUAACCUGCCCUUGACUUUGGGAUAACUUCAGGAAACUGGGGCUAAUACCGGAUAGGAGCUCCUGCUGCAUGGUGGGGGUUGGAAAGUUUCGGCGGUUGGGGCUGGACUCGCGGCUUAUCAGCUUGUUGGUGGGGUAGUGGCUUACCAAGGCUUUGACGGGUAGCCGGCCUGAGAGCGUGACCGGCGACAUUGGGACUGAGAUACGGACCAGAAUCCAACGGGAGGCAGCAGUGGGGAAUAUUGCACAAUGGGCGGAAGCCUGAGGCAGCAACGCCGCGUGCGGGAUGACGGCCUUCGGGUUGUAAACCGCUUUCGCCUGCGACGAAGCGUGAGUGACGGUAAUGGGUAAAGAAGCACCGGCUAACUACGUG